Arvicanthis niloticus (Nile rat) is the source of this 620-nucleotide non-coding RNA. NCBI's taxonomy places the organism in Eukaryota, Metazoa, Chordata, Mammalia, Rodentia, Muridae. The record is from RefSeq and is a predicted model, not a curated record.
GGGUAGACUUAAAGAACAGUCUCGUUGAGAGGCACAGACGCUUUAGGGUUCCAUUCUGUUUAACAAGCUCCAUACAACAGAUUGACUGAGGCUGAGACAGAGACCAGGGAAACCUCUCAGGUCUUGUCUGCAUUACAUGGACACACAUCAGUUGCACAGCUGGAACAAACAGCUGGGAAAGCCUGUCUGGGGAGACGUCUGCCUGAGGUGACUGAUGAGCCAAGGGUGAGGAGUGGUCAUGCUUUGCAGCCCAGGCGCCUCCUGAAAAUGACAGCCUUCAAGUCAGAUCUAGCCUGAGAGGAACCUAGUGCCUGCCAGAGUCCCUUGCAAUGUUGCCUCUGCUAUAAAGAUUUAACUGAAGGGAAAUAACAUCGUCCAGGAGAUCUGGCCCAUAUGGUACUGCACAUCAUGGCUGGAGUCUCAGUUUCGACCAUUGUGUUGGCUGCCUGCUGCCCAGACUGAGUGGGGUGAACUCAGGACAGAGCCUUGCUUUGGCACGAAUACCUCUGCCUUCUCCUGCUGACACAUUCCCUCCACCACUCAAGAAUGCACAGAGCCCUUGCCAGGUUGAGAAUGGGCCUGACUAUGACAGCAGCGUUUGCAAAGUAAAGAGUCUAUUU